CCAAAACCAAUCGAUGAUUCUGGUCUCCUGUCGUGCAGUGCUAUAUAAGAAAAGAAAUCGGCAACAGACGUUGACGUGACUCUCCUUCUUAUUUUGCCCACGAAACCCCGAAAUCCUAAAUCCAAAUCGAUCUCAGAAGCACUGUCUACGACGGGAAGACUCGAGCUUUCUGCUUGCAGGUGGCGGCCGGAAGGAAGGAGGAGCUUCACCAGGACCCGUCCGUCGACUACUUCCCCUACUUCCUCUACGGCGUCAUCACAGCUUCACCUCUCCACCGACCCACGACAAUGGCAUCGUCCUCCAUCGCACCGUGGAAUUCAGCAGGAAAAGACUGCGUCCCCCCCGCUCGGAUGCGGCUUGCCUGCUCCCGGCAAAGCUGAAGUGUUCAUGUUUUUUCUAUGCUGGACCCACUUUCCCUGUUCCUGCUCGCAAUUAUGAAGGCCUUUCUACUCACAGCCCCUCUGUUCCAUAGCUGCGCAAGCGCAGCCAGAUCUGGUUCACCUGAUUUCUAGCUGACCACCGUUCGGCCGUUCGGCUGCACGAGUUACGCCGGUUGGGUUUCGUUGGACGGGCCAUUCAAGAUGAGAACACACCUGAGAGAUCAAGCAGAACAUGAGAGGGCGCUCCGGCGCUGGCGUUCCAUCAUUGCAACCCGCAAGCCCCUGAUGCAUGUAGCAGUAACAUGAUGCACAGUGGGAGGAAGAAGAGCCCUGGGCCCAGCCAGGAAAACCAGAACCGUCAGAUGGACGGGAGAACAGAUGUGAGUAUACUGAUUUACUGAAUGACAAGAGGUGCGAUCAAUCCAUUGCCAUGGCCACUGCAAUCUGAGUGCAUGCCUUUUCAACGCUUUUCGUCGAUAGUUGGAUUAUGAUUCCUAUGCUGAAAGCUACUCCUACACGCAGAGCGUAUAUAUCAUGGCAUGGAUAUGUUAUCGGCUUUCAGUAAAGCCGGGCGAAAAAGCCCUCGCUCUGAAGAAAACAUAUGAUGUUGCAUGCAUGGUAUCAUAUCCACCGUGAUUUAUUCGAAGGGACCGAUCGGCCUGCACAUUCGUUGCAUGGUACGCUAGUUCCGGCCAGAUUCCGCUUGAUAGGCGCUUUGCAGGACCUCAUACCUGACUGCAACGAAAAAAGAGCUUUGCACAAGCUUAAAGCGCAACCUGGAGACGUGGUUUCUCUUCAGACACAACAUGCUCUCUGCCUUCCUGAUCCCGAUGUGGCGACGAUGUCAAGAAAAGCUCCUUGGUUCUCAGUUUUUCGGUUCGCCGGCUAUGCUCCAUUGCCAUGGUAGGACUCGGCACAUAAUGGCUGAUCGGUUUGAUCACUGACGAAGGAUGAUCAAGUGAACUAACAUUCAACAGUUGAAGCAACAUUUGCUAUGGUGCAAGUCCCAAGUAUGGGACCAUUUCCUCCAGGGCACAGAAGGAAUCAAAAACAUGCGCAAAAGGAACUUUCAGGAAAAGUGCAAAUGAGUGCAACUUUAGAUAGAACGUGAUUUCGACUGGAAAAGCGUGAGCUUCAAACAUGCAAGAGUAACGUGGAUAAGACCCUGGUGUCAUGAUAAGAUAAGAUCUAUCGAUCCAGAUGAUAUGAUAUGGCGAUUUUACUCACUGUUUCGAAGUAGAAGCCAUUAUCUGAACAACUGAAUGCCUCUUGUGAAGAAAGGUGUAUGUGUGCUUCGGUAGGUUGCAUCAACAAGAAAAUGUCGCAAAAGAUCCCACCAAAAGAAAUUUAGCUGAUCAGUUUGGUACUCCCUCUAAUUCAUAAUAAGCGUCGGAGAUGUAGUACAAAGUUGUACUAAUGUUAGUACAAAUCCCCGACACUUAUGGAUCGGAGAGAGUAGUAAAUUCUCGACCAUAUUUUAGCAUGAAUUUUGGCAGGUGCACAAGUUUUAGCGUGAUGCGUUCUUAGUCUUUUUCAAAAUGUACAAGCAGGUAAACCCAAAACCCGAGCACCCACCCAGCAUGUAGAUUUGCUUUUCCCUUAUGAGUAUGCAUACUGUGUCCUCUAAGAAAAUACUCCAUUGUGUUUUGAUCGGAAAAAAAAGUGUCAUCGUUUGUUUGACCUUAUUAAAUUUCUCCAUUGCUCAAACGGAAUACAUGGAAUGGAUAACAUAUUCUUCGGCAAUCUGGAAACAUGGUAAGAUAUUGCUAAAACUUAUCGUCAAAUCAUAGUACGAGGACAGUCCUGAAUGAAUAUAAUGCUAUCAUGGACUUUAGAUAAAAAUGCACAGAAAGAUUUAUUCAAAUGUUACACACUCAUAUAUAUACAACAAAUAAAUCCAUGCUUGGUAUUUAAAACAUUAAUUUACUUUCUUACUUGUACAUUGUACAUUUAAGUUCGAUGCCUUUAAUCUUACAAUGUCAUCAACAAUAUCUUCUCCAAUUGGCAGGGCAUUCCAAUCUCCUCUGGAAUGCAUUUCAAGUUUGUCUCGGAGGUCUUCACUGAGAUCGGGUUUAAGAAUUAGCCUGGCAAAAACACUUAAGAAAUAAGCAUUCUGUUCUAAUUCGUGAUUUCGUUACCUAUUUUCUGAGGUCAAUGACCCCAUAUCAUAGCAUUUCCUACAGUCCCUGACACGGCUGGUUACGGUGAGAGUUGCCGGCCUGGCUGAGUAGCUGUGGAUGAUACGCUGGUAAGUGGUAACCUCACCUCUUCUUUUCCUUUGUGCUGUUGCUGUCAAGCUUAAAAUUGGAAUAUUCCUGUAUUGACAGCAGCUGCAACCUUGAAUCUGUUACAACUUACAACAACUUAAGAUUUGCUAUCUCAUAAAAAAUGAAGUUUAUUCUUGGACAUCAGGACAAAUACAGUAUCUGUGCAUCACACUGCUUUUCAGACUAUCAAUAUGUAGUAGUACACAGGGAUGUGGAAUCUACAUAACAACAAUUAGCUUUGAAGCAUGCUAAACAGAGCACGACAGUAGGGAUUAUCUUAUUUACCUUCAUAUCAACUGUUCUUUUAAAACAAAAUUGUGAGACUAUAAUUUAUUUAAGUACUCCCUCUGAUCCAUAAUAAGUGUCCCAGACUUAGUGCAACUUUGUACUAAGUUAGUACAAAAUCUGAGACACUUAUUAUGGAUCGGAGGGAGUAUAUAUUUCUGUACAACGUUAUAGGCAAUAAUAUAAAUAGACAUAAAUUAUAAAUAUUGGAAAAACAAAUGUAAUCCCAACUAUCUCAGCUGUGUUUCGCAACGACAAUACCGUUUCCUUAAGAAGGUGACAACAUAAUGUAUUUUUGUGUUUAGCCUAUUUAUGGUAUACUCGACAUAUUACAAAACCAUCUCUUGGCUAACAUAGAAACAAUUUAAAAACAUCCUAUGUUGUUUGUUAAAAAGUGCUCACCUUUUCUGCACCUACUUUUCUACUGCAGAGAUAAAGUUCAGCAAGCCUACACGAUGUGGCAAUGCCCGAAUGAGAGAAAAAUACUCUAAUCGUAUAAAAAAAUGUCAAAGAAGGUUUUGCAUGCAACCAGACCAAAUGGUGGAAUAAUCUAUAUAAUUAAUGUAAUAUUGCAUGCUACAUGUAGGGAGAAAAGAGAGAUGCAGUGUAGAACAGACAUGACAGUGAAGGGAAUGCACACAGAAUAAAAGGAGAUUUAAACAUUGGAAAAAGGGUCAUCUGUA
Brachypodium distachyon (stiff brome) is the source of this 3615-nucleotide long non-coding RNA. RefSeq lists it as uncharacterized. The transcript has 2 exons. NCBI's taxonomy places the organism in Eukaryota, Viridiplantae, Streptophyta, Magnoliopsida, Poales, Poaceae. The record is from RefSeq and is a predicted model, not a curated record.